AGAAUUUCGUAUUAUUUCUCUUGUUCACCAUAUUCCGUUUGAGUUAAUGUUUUCCUGUGUCAGAUAAAUAUAGCAUGUCGCAAAACAUAAGUUAGUUAUAUUCACAAUAUUUUACACAGUAGUUUUACGAAUGUCGAGGGCUACUGCUACUGAGGCAAUUGUAUAUGGCGUUUACAAAGUUCCUCCGCAGGAACUUCGUGAGCAUAUCGUUCCCGACUGUCACUGCUAUCCUCAUAUUCCUCGACUGGAAUCAUACUAGGAAGUGGAAGGCGCUGAAACAGAAUUAAAAUGGCCAUCUUCGGUAUCACCUCUCGUUACGUAUGGUUUGCGGUUCCUAUCUCCGGAUUCCUUGUUGGAAAGUACUUGGAUGAUCAAGAGACCUUGAGGAUGACCAACUUCAGAGACAAGUCGAAGCUGUACGGAGGCAUGGUGAAGGAAGGCGAAGCACCCUCUUGGCCUUGAAUUAUAAACUCUAAUUUAGUU
Molecule: RNA transcript, 483 nt
Organism: Ostrinia furnacalis (Asian corn borer)
Lineage: Eukaryota; Metazoa; Arthropoda; Insecta; Lepidoptera; Crambidae
Gene: ND-MNLL
Gene name: NADH dehydrogenase (ubiquinone) MNLL subunit
Exons: 2
Source: RefSeq, a predicted model, not a curated record